UACCAAUCCCAAAGAGUGUCGUUUGAAUGAAUAGAAUGGGGGGUUUUAGAGCAUUUCCAAAAGAACACUAAAACCAAUCUGAAAACGCGUUUUGGGUGGAAAAGCAAAAUUUUCUCCGUCCAACAGUCCCCCCUUCCCCCAAAUUAUCAGCGUCCCGCAUCCUAGCUCCACUCUCCCUCAACUCAAAUAUGCGCGAGCGAAGGUCUUCCCCAAUCCGUCCUUGCUCCGCGAGAGGCAACAGAGUUGACAGGUGGAGGCGGCGCCAGUUGACGGUUACCAGUCCUUUGCCGUGAGAGGCACCUCAUCUCCCACCCCCAGACAACAUAGUCGAUGAGCGGCAGGAACGAGGCGCAGCAGAUUGGCCGACGACAAGCCGGGACCCCACCUCCACUGGUGGUGAUGAGCAACUCGCAGGCUUCGCUGGCGUCUGCCCCAAGCUCCCGCUUCGUCGUGGCAUAGAGGCCUUCUCGAAGCAGGAGCUAGACGGCCUCCAUCAACUGUUCGCCUCCCAGCACAGUCGCAGACCAGCGGCCACACCAUCUCACGCCCCGUUCAUGGCCAGGACACCAUCUUCUUGUUUUAGGGACUAGUUAUUAGCAUUAUGAUGUAGGUUUAGUUUUUUUAGAAGUUUUUUUUCCAGCAGCCCCCAAUAUGAUGUUUUUAGAAACAAAUUUUUGGUAAGCUCUUGGAGUUGCUCUUAGCCCCCUCAAUCCCCUUGCUUCCAAACAAGCCAUUAGUUAUUUAUAGGAGGUUUUCCCUCCCUGUUUUCCCUCCCCUUCCAAACUCGCCUUUAUAGUGAAUAUAAAACUGUGAUCGGGAGCCAUAGAAAGAUGAAGAUAUCUCGGUUGCAAAUGAUCAGCAGUUGGGUA
Molecule: long non-coding RNA, 869 nt
Organism: Zea mays
Lineage: Eukaryota; Viridiplantae; Streptophyta; Magnoliopsida; Poales; Poaceae
Exons: 2
Source: RefSeq, a predicted model, not a curated record